AGAUCGCCNAUAGUUCUNGAACGGUGGAUAAUACCGGAUGUGCCGAAAGGUGAAAGGCUUGCUGCCUGAAGAUGAGCUCGCGUCUGAUUAGCUAGUAGGUGUGGUAAGAGCGCACCUAGGCGACGAUCAGUAGCUGGUCUGAGAGGAUGAUCAGCCACACUGGGACUGAGACACGGCCCAGACUCCUACGGGAGGCAGCAGUGGGGAAUUUUCCGCAAUGGGCGAAAGCCUGACGGAGCAAUACCGCGUGAGGGAGGAAGGCUCUUGGGUUGUAAACCUCUUUUCUCAAGGAAUAACUCAAUGAAGGUACUUGAGGAAUAAGCAUCGGCUAACUCCGUGCCAGCAGCCGCGGUAAUACGGAGGAUGCAAGCGUUAUCCGGAAUGAUUGGGCGUAAAGCGUCCGCAGGUGGCAGUGUAAGUCUGCUGUUAAAGAGCAAAGCUUAACUUUGUAAAAGCAGUGGAAACUACACAGCUAGAGUACGGUCGGGGCAGAGGGAAUUCCUGGUGUAGCGGUGAAAUGCGUAGAGAUCAGGAAGAACACCGGUGGCGAAGGCGCUCUGCUAGGCCUGUACUGACACUGAGGGACGAAAGCUAGGGGAGCGAAUGGGAUUAGAUCCCCNANUUUANUCAAGGAA
This 635-nucleotide ribosomal RNA is filed under the name Nostoc sp. 3H3. Its description in RNAcentral is "bacterial SSU rRNA". It matches the Rfam family "Bacterial small subunit ribosomal RNA", at positions 143 to 802 of the family's 1533-position model. Lineage: Bacteria; Bacillati; Cyanobacteriota; Cyanophyceae; Nostocales; Nostocaceae. The record is from RNAcentral.